UACGAAGGGGGCUAGCGUUGCUCGGAAUCACUGGGCGUAAAGGGUGCGUAGGCGGGUCUUUAAGUUAGGGGUGAAAUCCUGGAGCUCAACUCCAGAACUGCCUUUGAUACUGAGGAUCUUGGGUUCGGGAGAGGUGAGUGGAACUGCGAGUGUAGAGGUGAAAUUCGUAGAUAUUCGCAAGAACACCAGUGGCGAAGGCGGCUCACUGGCCCGAUACUGACGCUGAGGCACGAAAGCGUGGGGAGCAAACAGG
This 253-nucleotide ribosomal RNA is filed under the name uncultured bacterium. Its description in RNAcentral is "partial 16S ribosomal RNA". It matches the Rfam family "Bacterial small subunit ribosomal RNA", at positions 524 to 776 of the family's 1533-position model. The record is from RNAcentral.